CAAGGGAUGUAGCUCCGCUUGGUAGGGCGUUUGUUUUGGGUACAAAAUGUCAAAGGUUCGAAUCCUGUCAUCCC
RNAcentral lists this transfer RNA (74 nucleotides) under Drosera rotundifolia. RNAcentral's name for it is "tRNA-Pro". It matches the Rfam family "tRNA". Rfam says of the family: Transfer RNA (tRNA) molecules are approximately 80 nucleotides in length. Their secondary structure includes four short double-helical elements and three loops (D, anti-codon, and T loops). The record is from RNAcentral. Lineage: Eukaryota; Viridiplantae; Streptophyta; Magnoliopsida; Caryophyllales; Droseraceae.